UCCCGCCGCUCGGAGCUCAGGCUCCGGGGCGCGGUGUCUCCCCUCGCUCUGGUGUUGAAGGCUCCUCUCUGGAGAUACCUCGGCAAAUGACUCUAUAAAAAAUUCCCUGUGUAGAAAGAAUCUUAACACCAAUGGUGGUUGCACUGGCACCAAUCUGAGCACAAACUCUGCUGCUGCACAGGGUAGUAAGUAAUCUGACUGAUAUAAAGACCACCUUGGAACCAGCCUGCAGGGCUACACUGGUAACAGGGAUUAUUUUGUCAGUCAUUGAAAAUGAAGGCUUUUAAUGCUCCAAUUUACACUGCAAUACAAAAACUCAAAUGCUGUGAAUACAAA
Molecule: long non-coding RNA, 336 nt
Organism: Pezoporus occidentalis (night parrot)
Lineage: Eukaryota; Metazoa; Chordata; Aves; Psittaciformes; Psittacidae
Exons: 2
Source: RefSeq, a predicted model, not a curated record